This 1372-nucleotide ribosomal RNA is filed under the name uncultured bacterium. Its description in RNAcentral is "bacterial SSU rRNA". It matches the Rfam family "Bacterial small subunit ribosomal RNA", at positions 28 to 1381 of the family's 1533-position model. The record is from RNAcentral.
GAUGAACGCUGGCUGCGUGCCUAAUACAUGCAAGUCGAGCGAACGGACGAGAAGCUUGCUUCUCUGAUGUUAGCGGCGGACGGGUGAGUAACACGUGGAUAACCUACCUAUAAGACUGGGAUAACUUCGGGAAACCGGAGCUAAUACCGGAUAAUAUUUUGAACCGCAUGGUUCAAAAGUGAAAGACGGUCUUGCUGUCACUUAUAGAUGGAUCCGCGCUGCAUUAGCUAGUUGGUAAGGUAACGGCUUACCAAGGCAACGAUGCAUAGCCGACCUGAGAGGGUGAUCGGCCACACUGGAACUGAGACACGGUCCAGACUCCUACGGGAGGCAGCAGUAGGGAAUCUUCCGCAAUGGGCGAAAGCCUGACGGAGCAACGCCGCGUGAGUGAUGAAGGUCUUCGGAUCGUAAAACUCUGUUAUUAGGGAAGAACAUAUGUGUAAGUAACUGUGCACAUCUUGACGGUACCUAAUCAGAAAGCCACGGCUAACUACGUGCCAGCAGCCGCGGUAAUACGUAGGUGGCAAGCGUUAUCCGGAAUUAUUGGGCGUAAAGCGCGCGUAGGCGGUUUUUUAAGUCUGAUGUGAAAGCCCACGGCUCAACCGUGGAGGGUCAUUGGAAACUGGAAAACUUGAGUGCAGAAGAGGAAAGUGGAAUUCCAUGUGUAGCGGUGAAAUGCGCAGAGAUAUGGAGGAACACCAGUGGCGAAGGCGACUUUCUGGUCUGUAACUGACGCUGAUGUGCGAAAGCGUGGGGAUCAAACAGGAUUAGAUACCCUGGUAGUCCACGCCGUAAACGAUGAGUGCUAAGUGUUAGGGGGUUUCCGCCCCUUAGUGCUGCAGCUAACGCAUUAAGCACUCCGCCUGGGGAGUACGACCGCAAGGUUGAAACUCAAAGGAAUUGACGGGGACCCGCACAAGCGGUGGAGCAUGUGGUUUAAUUCGAAGCAACGCGAAGAACCUUACCAAAUCUUGACAUCCUUUGACAACUCUAGAGAUAGAGCUUUCCCCUUCGGGGGACAAAGUGACAGGUGGUGCAUGGUUGUCGUCAGCUCGUGUCGUGAGAUGUUGGGUUAAGUCCCGCAACGAGCGCAACCCUUAAGCUUAGUUGCCAUCAUUAAGUUGGGCACUCUAAGUUGACUGCCGGUGACAAACCGGAGGAAGGUGGGGAUGACGUCAAAUCAUCAUGCCCCUUAUGAUUUGGGCCACACACGUGCUACAAUGGACAAUACAAAGGGCAGCGAAACCGCGAGGUCAAGCAAAUCCCAUAAAGUUGUUCUCAGUUCGGAUUGUAGUCUGCAACUCGACUACAUGAAGCUGGAAUCGCUAGUAAUCGUAGAUCAGCAUGCUACGGUGAAUACGUUCCCGGGUCU